GGGGUUGACUGGAAUUGACGGGAAGGUUAAAUCCAAUGUAAGCAUGCGAGGUGUUGUAAGUAUUACCUCUCAUAUCAAACUUACACAGUGCAUAAAUGGCAACGAUGGUCUGCCUAUUAUCCUUCCUAAGGCCUGGACUCUUACUUUAAGUCUAAGAAGAAAACGAGAAGAAGAAGAGGAAGAAGGCGCUGACGCAUUGCGUUUGGCUGCUUAAUCGAUAGAUUAAGAAGGAUAUGUCCCGCUGGUUUUUGUUCUAUGGGAUCAGCAUAGGGGCAUCGAUGCAUGGAACUAGUGUCACCAGGUACGUGAUGGUGGCAUAAAGCAUAACCGCGUAUAAGUGCAACAUUAGGUCUGUUGCUGACCUUGGUUGCGCCGACAAUAAACAGCGACUAAGCAUGUAGAAAGCGUUGCGGUUUUCUUGUUCGGACGAGGGUUCGAUUCCCUCCAGCUCCACAU
Molecule: transfer-messenger RNA, 456 nt
Filed under: Amoebophilaceae
Lineage: Bacteria; Pseudomonadati; Bacteroidota; Cytophagia; Cytophagales
Also listed under: 2 other names
Description: Cardinium sp007559345 Standard tmRNA
Rfam family: transfer-messenger RNA
About the family: Bacterial tmRNA, also known as 10Sa RNA or SsrA, is named for its dual tRNA and mRNA-like properties. Its role is to liberate the mRNA from a stalled ribosome.
Source: RNAcentral